GCAGUGGUGGUUCCGUGGUAGAAUUCUCGUUUUCCACUUGGGAGACCCGGGUUUGAUUCCCAGCCAAUGUA
Molecule: transfer RNA, 71 nt
Filed under: Loxodonta africana (African savanna elephant)
Lineage: Eukaryota; Metazoa; Chordata; Mammalia; Proboscidea; Elephantidae
Rfam family: tRNA
About the family: Transfer RNA (tRNA) molecules are approximately 80 nucleotides in length. Their secondary structure includes four short double-helical elements and three loops (D, anti-codon, and T loops).
Source: Rfam by way of RNAcentral